This 441-nucleotide ribosomal RNA is filed under the name uncultured bacterium. Its description in RNAcentral is "partial 16S ribosomal RNA". It matches the Rfam family "Bacterial small subunit ribosomal RNA", at positions 338 to 795 of the family's 1533-position model. The record is from RNAcentral.
CCUACGGGAGGCAGCAGUGGGGAAUAUUGCACAAUGGGGGAAACCCUGAUGCAGCGACGCCGCGUGAGUGAAGAAGUAUUUCGGUAUGUAAAGCUCUAUCAGCAGGAACGAGACAAGACGGUACCUGACUAAGAAGCCCCGGCUAACUACGUGCCAGCAGCCGCGGUAAUACGUAGGGGGCAAGCGUUAUCCGGAAUCACUGGGUGUAAAGGGAGCGUAGACGGCUGUGCAAGCCUGAAGUGAAAGGCGGGGGACCAAGCCCUGGACUGCUUUGGGAACUGUACGGCUGGAGUGCAGGAGAGGUAAGUGGAAUUACUAGGGUAGCGGUGAAAUGCGUAGAUAUUAGGAGGAACACCAGUGGCGAAGGCGGCUUACUGGACUGUAACUGACGUUGAGGCUCGAAAGCGUGGGGAGCAAACAGGAUUAGAUACCCUGGUAGUC